GUCCCUGUAGUGCAAAGGAUAGCGCGUUGGGCUUCUUAUCCAAUAGUGGUGGGUUCGAAUCCCGCCUGGGAUG
Molecule: transfer RNA, 73 nt
Filed under: Trichonephila inaurata madagascariensis
Lineage: Eukaryota; Metazoa; Arthropoda; Arachnida; Araneae; Nephilidae
Rfam family: tRNA
About the family: Transfer RNA (tRNA) molecules are approximately 80 nucleotides in length. Their secondary structure includes four short double-helical elements and three loops (D, anti-codon, and T loops).
Source: Rfam by way of RNAcentral